ACAUGCCAGAUCUGAGUAUAACCCCUCUCACUGCAUUCAACAUGAAGGUUAAUUUGAUUGAUUUGACUGGCUAGGAAGAUGUCCCCUUCCUCCCUAACUGCUCUACAUGCUUUCCUUCUUAAGGCCUCACCUGGUUGAAAAGGGCAACAUUUCUUGACAAAGGAGAGUGGUUUUGUGGUUAAAGGUGCAUCAGUAAUUGUGCGCCCCUACCAGAUCCUCCAAACAAACUCUUAGACUUUCUUCAUUUAUAUUUGAAUAUUUGAAGCAGUACAUUUGGGGCAUUUUUAC
This 288-nucleotide small nuclear RNA is filed under the name Jaculus jaculus (lesser Egyptian jerboa). Its description in RNAcentral is "7SK RNA (ENSJJAG00000000970.1)". It matches the Rfam family "7SK RNA", at positions 1 to 278 of the family's 331-position model. From Rfam's summary of the family: 7SK was discovered as an abundant small nuclear RNA in the mid-70s but a possible function has only recently been suggested. Two independent studies have found that 7SK RNA binds the CDK9/cyclin T complex (known as elongation factor P-TEFb). P-TEFb activates transcription by phosphorylating the C-terminal domain of RNA polymerase II. Lineage: Eukaryota; Metazoa; Chordata; Mammalia; Rodentia; Dipodidae. The record is from RNAcentral.